UAUUUCGUGCAUGGAAUAAUAGAAUAUGAUCUCGGUUCUAUUUUGUUGGUUUUCAGAACUCCGAGGUAAUGAUUAAUAGGGAUAACUGGGGGCAUUCGUAUUGCGACGUUAGAGGUGAAAUUCUUGGAUCGUCGCAAGACGAACAUCAGCGAAAGCAUUUGCCAAAGGUGUUUUCAUCAAUCAAGAACGAAAGUUAGAGGUUCGAAGGCGAUUAGAUACCGCCCUAGUUCUAACCGUAAAUAUGUCAUCUAGCGAUCCGCCGAUGUUACUACAAUGGCUCGGCGKUYAGYUUCCGGGAAAYY
This 302-nucleotide ribosomal RNA is filed under the name Palaephatus falsus. RNAcentral's name for it is "SSU rRNA". It matches the Rfam family "Eukaryotic small subunit ribosomal RNA", at positions 810 to 1110 of the family's 1831-position model. The record is from RNAcentral. Lineage: Eukaryota; Metazoa; Arthropoda; Insecta; Lepidoptera; Palaephatidae.